GCUAGUAAUGGCAGGUCAGCAUACUGCCGUGAAUACGUUCCCGGGCCUUGUACACACCGCCCGUCACACCAUGAGAGUUGGGAAUACCCGAAGCCUGUGAGCUAACGUUAAGAGGCAGCAGUCGAAGGUAGAAUCAAUGAUUGGGGUGAAGUCGUAACAAGGUAAC
This 166-nucleotide ribosomal RNA is filed under the name uncultured bacterium. Its description in RNAcentral is "partial 16S ribosomal RNA". It matches the Rfam family "Bacterial small subunit ribosomal RNA", at positions 1334 to 1500 of the family's 1533-position model. The record is from RNAcentral.